Molecule: ribosomal RNA, 448 nt
Filed under: uncultured bacterium
Lineage: Bacteria
Description: partial 16S ribosomal RNA
Rfam family: Bacterial small subunit ribosomal RNA
Source: RNAcentral
UGGGGAAUAUUGCACAAUGGGCGAAAGCCUGAUGCAGCAACGCCGCGUGAGGGACGACGGCCUUCGGGUUGUAAACCUCUUUUAGCAAGGAAGAAGCGAAAGUGACGGUACUUGCAGAAAAAGCGCCGGCUAACUACGUGCCAGCAGCCGCGGUAAUACGUAGGGCGCAAGCGUUAUCCGGAAUUAUUGGGCGUAAAGAGCUCGUAGGCGGUUUGUCGCGUCUGCUGUGAAAACCCGAGGCCCAACCUCGGGCCUGCAGUGGGUACGGGCAGACUAGAGUGCGGUGGGGGAGAUUGGAACUCCUGGUGUAGCGGUGGAAUGCGCAGAUAUCAGGAAGAACACCGAUGGCGAAGGCAGAUCUCUGGGCCGUAACUGACGCUGAGGAGCGAAAAGGGUGGGGAGCAAAACAGGCUUAGAUACCCUGGUAGCCCACCCCGUAAACGUUGGG